Molecule: transfer RNA, 62 nt
Filed under: Cyphocaris challengeri
Lineage: Eukaryota; Metazoa; Arthropoda; Malacostraca; Amphipoda; Cyphocarididae
Description: tRNA-Pro
Source: RNAcentral
CAAAAAGUAGUUUAUAAAAAAUUAUAGUUUUGGGUACUAUUGAAAAGGUUAGUUCUUUUUGU